Molecule: ribosomal RNA, 273 nt
Filed under: uncultured bacterium
Lineage: Bacteria
Description: partial 16S ribosomal RNA
Rfam family: Bacterial small subunit ribosomal RNA
Source: RNAcentral
UACGGAGGGGGUUAGCGUUGUUCGGAAUUACUGGGCGUAAAGCGCACGUAGGCGGAUUGGAAAGUUGGGGGUGAAAUCCCCGGGGCUCAACCCCCGGAACUGCCUCCAAAACUUCCAGUCUGGAGUUCGAGAGAGGUGAGUGGAAUUCCGAGUGUAGAGGUGAAAUUCGUAGAUAUUCGGAGGAACACCAGUGGCGAAGGCGGCUCACUGGCUCGAUACUGACGCUGAGGUGCGAAAGUGUGGGGAGCAAACAGGAUUAGAUACCCCCGUAGU